Coregonus clupeaformis (lake whitefish) is the source of this 151-nucleotide long non-coding RNA. RefSeq lists it as uncharacterized. The transcript is spliced from 3 exons. NCBI's taxonomy places the organism in Eukaryota, Metazoa, Chordata, Actinopteri, Salmoniformes, Salmonidae. The record is from RefSeq and is a predicted model, not a curated record.
CCCUGACGACUUUGGAAGGACCUGUUUACAUGCUGCAGCAGCUGUUGGGAACCUGGACUGUCUGAAUCUGCUGCUCAACACAGGGGCAGACUUCAACAGAAAGGACAGCAUCGGAAGGAGUCCUCUGCAUUAUGCGGCAGCCAAUUGUAAA